RNAcentral lists this non-coding RNA (29 nucleotides) under Rattus norvegicus (Norway rat). The record is from RNAcentral. Lineage: Eukaryota; Metazoa; Chordata; Mammalia; Rodentia; Muridae.
UGGGAUCAGGACUGUAGCACCAGGAUUCC